GUGGACUAACACCACUGCAUGUUGCUGCACACUACGAUAACCAGAAAGUGGCCCUCCUUCUGUUGGACCAAGGAUCGUCUCCGCACGCUGCAGCGAAGAAUGGCUAUACUCCACUGCACAUAGCUGCCAAGAAGAACCAGAUGGAGAUAGCAACCACACUGCUCGAAUAUGGAGCUGAUACCAAUGCCACGACACGCCAGGGCAUCAGUCCUCUCCACCUGGCAGCCCAGGAGGGCAAUGUUGACAUGAUCACGCUUCUGCUCGCCCGUGAAACUGCCAUCAAUCUGGGAAACAAGAAACGCUGCAGGUGCUUGAUGUGACCUUGUGUGAAUCCGUGUUCUACACCGGUUUCAAACAAAAAGCUGCAUGUUAGGCCAUUCAUUUACACUUAAAUGUAGGCCUAAUGCUUGGCGGUUCGUGACAUAUCCUCGGAUAAACUCUAACGCCGGGGCAUUGCCAUGUGACUUACCUAUGAUGAAUUUACAGCUGAGCAUGGGCAUUUCACUCGUUGGAUGCAUCAGCGUCACGUUUGCAUAGGCCGUACUAUGCUGUCUGAC
Sinocyclocheilus grahami is the source of this 557-nucleotide long non-coding RNA. RefSeq lists it as uncharacterized. The record is from RefSeq and is a predicted model, not a curated record. The transcript is spliced from 3 exons. NCBI's taxonomy places the organism in Eukaryota, Metazoa, Chordata, Actinopteri, Cypriniformes, Cyprinidae.